UUCAGAUGCAUUUCAUCUUCUCAGAUACAGCGGUGCUUCUGUUUGAUUUCUGGAGUGUCCACAGUCCUGCUGCAUGGCCCUUUCGGUGUUGGUGCUCCUGCUUCUGGCUGUACUGUAUGAAGGCAUCAAGGUUGGCAAAGCCAAGCUGCUCAACCAGGUACUGGUGAACCUGCCAACCUCCAUCAGCCAGCAGACCAUCGCAGAGACAGACGGGGACUCUGCAGGCUCAGAUUCAUUCCCUGUUGGCAGAACCCACCACAGUGGUAUUUGUGUCACUUUGGCCAGUCUCUAAUCCAUGUCAUCCAGGUGGUCAUCGGCUACUUCAUCAUGCUGGCCGUAAUGUCCUACAACACCUGGAUUUUCCUUGGUGUGGUCUUGGGCUCUGCUGUGGGCUACUACCUAGCUUACCCACUUCUCAGCACAGCU
RNAcentral lists this long non-coding RNA (426 nucleotides) under Homo sapiens (human). RNAcentral describes it as "long non-coding RNA NONHSAT134321.2". The record is from RNAcentral. Lineage: Eukaryota; Metazoa; Chordata; Mammalia; Primates; Hominidae.